GGAAGUCCUACAACUACGGAAUUAAAAAAAAAAAGCAGCUACAUCCAGACCGGUAAUCUGAUCACUAGGAAUGCCCACUUCUCUGAAGAACUAGGAGUCAAAUCCUGAGUCCUGACUCAACCACUUGCUAGUGUAUGACCUGGGAAUGACCUACCGAAGAAAGUACCAUUUGAGUCUCCAUCCUCAUGCUUCUGCUGCUGUUGCUGCUGCUGUUGCUGCUGCUCCCUCAACUGCAAGGAUUCCUGACAAACAUAGAU
This is a long non-coding RNA of Molossus molossus (Pallas's mastiff bat), 257 nucleotides long. RefSeq lists it as uncharacterized. The transcript is spliced from 3 exons. NCBI's taxonomy places the organism in Eukaryota, Metazoa, Chordata, Mammalia, Chiroptera, Molossidae. The record is from RefSeq and is a predicted model, not a curated record.